This is a non-coding RNA of Echinostoma caproni, 45 nucleotides long. NCBI's taxonomy places the organism in Eukaryota, Metazoa, Platyhelminthes, Trematoda, Plagiorchiida, Echinostomatidae. The record is from Rfam.
GCACUGCUGACGAGUCCCAAACGGGACAAAACAGCUGUCCAGUGC